GUGGGGAAUCUUCCGCAAUGGACGAAAGUCUGACGGAGCAACGCCGCGUGAGUGAAGAAGGUUUUCGGAUCGUAAAGCUCUUUCGUUAGGGACGAACGUGCUCUUUGUGAAUAAUGAGGAGUAAUGACGGUACCUAAAUAAGAAGCCACGGCUAACUACGUGCCAGCAGCCGCGGUAAUACGUAGGUGGCAAGCGUUGUCCGGAAUUAUUGGGCGUAAAGCGCGCGCAGGCGGGAUAUCAAGGCUGUCUUAACAGUGCGAGGCUCAACCUCGUGGGGGGACAGAAACUGGUAUUCUUGAGUGUCGGAGAGGAAAGUGGAAUUCCAAGUGUAGCGGUGAAAUGCGUAGAGAUUUGGAAGAACACCAGUGGCGAAGGCGACUUUCUGGACGAUGUCUGACGCUGAGGCGCGAAAGCUAGGGGAGCGAACGGGAUUAGAAACCCUAGUAGUCC
Molecule: ribosomal RNA, 450 nt
Filed under: uncultured bacterium
Lineage: Bacteria
Description: partial 16S ribosomal RNA
Rfam family: Bacterial small subunit ribosomal RNA
Source: RNAcentral